Molecule: ribosomal RNA, 204 nt
Filed under: uncultured soil bacterium
Lineage: Bacteria
Description: partial 16S ribosomal RNA
Rfam family: Bacterial small subunit ribosomal RNA
Source: RNAcentral
AGAACGAACGCUGGCGGCAUGCCUAAUACAUGCAAGUCGAACGAACUCUUCGGAGUUAGUGGCGCACGGGUGCGUAACGCGUGGGAAUCUGCCCCUUGGUUCGGAAUAACAGUUGGAAACGACUGCUAAUACCGGAUGAUGACGAAAGUCCAAAGAUUUAUCGCCAAGGGAUGAGCCCGCGUAGGAUUAGCUAGUUGGUGAGGU